RNAcentral lists this ribosomal RNA (300 nucleotides) under uncultured Bacillus sp. RNAcentral describes it as "bacterial SSU rRNA". It matches the Rfam family "Bacterial small subunit ribosomal RNA", at positions 507 to 795 of the family's 1533-position model. Lineage: Bacteria; Bacillati; Bacillota; Bacilli; Caryophanales; Bacillaceae. The record is from RNAcentral.
GUCAUGAGACAGGGAGAGUGCGCGUGAAUACGUCGGUGCGGAUCGUGGUCCGGUUAGAUUUGACUGAAAGGGAGGGUAGUCGGUGUGUCUGGUCAGCUGUGACAGCCAGGGGCUCAACCGCGGUACGUCGGUGUAAACCACCUGGCGAUAGUCCGGAUGAGGAUAUUGGAAUUCCCGGUGCAGCGGUGAAAUGCGCAGAUAUCGGGAAGAACACCCGUGGCGAAGGCGGCUCUCUGGGACGGUACUGACGCUGAGACGCGAAAGCGUGGGUAGCGAACAGGAUUAGAUACCCCAGUAGUC